This 74-nucleotide transfer RNA is filed under the name Microbacterium sp. RNAcentral's name for it is "tRNA-Pro". It matches the Rfam family "tRNA". From Rfam's summary of the family: Transfer RNA (tRNA) molecules are approximately 80 nucleotides in length. Their secondary structure includes four short double-helical elements and three loops (D, anti-codon, and T loops). The record is from RNAcentral. RNAcentral also lists the same sequence under 2 other names. Lineage: Bacteria; Bacillati; Actinomycetota; Actinomycetes; Micrococcales; Microbacteriaceae.
CGGGAUGUGGCUCAGCUUGGUAGAGCACCUGACUGGGGGUCAGGGGGUCGCAGGUUCAAAUCCUGUCAUCCCGA